Molecule: long non-coding RNA, 325 nt
Filed under: Actinidia chinensis (golden kiwifruit)
Lineage: Eukaryota; Viridiplantae; Streptophyta; Magnoliopsida; Ericales; Actinidiaceae
Description: long non-coding RNA (ACHI_LNC000303)
Source: RNAcentral
CAUAGCCAACUAAAGAGGGCUUUUUAGUUGACACUGUUCAUGUUGUCGUAACCAUAUUGUGAAUUUACACACCUGUUUGCCUCAUGUUGCCAAAAACUUAUUGUGAAUUUGCACACACUUUCACCCUAUCUACUAGCUAAUGUAGCUAAAGACCAUCACAACAAACAUGAAAAAUACUACAUAUGUUUCAACAUUCUAAUUUCAGACAGGUAGUUGGAUGGGAACAACAGACAAGUUGGAAGCAAAGCUAUCUGAAAAUUCAUCACGUUAAACUUCCAACGAUUAGCUGUGCUGUAAAAAGUUGGUUGACUUCCGAUCCAAACAA